RNAcentral lists this microRNA precursor (106 nucleotides) under Marmota monax (woodchuck). The record is from RNAcentral. Lineage: Eukaryota; Metazoa; Chordata; Mammalia; Rodentia; Sciuridae.
GUUUGAAUCUCCUGGGGAUCUUGCUAAAAUGUAGGAACUGAUUCAGGAGUUUCUAUAUGGGCUUAAAAGUUUCUGAAGAUUUAAUAAGCUCCCAGGUGAUGCUGGU